CUCAGGUUUAAAAGUCUAAUACCUCCAGGGUUCAACUGGCCCACAAAAGAGGAGGUUUCUCUGUUGAGCAUGUGUCAAGCCUUAGCAGAACCCAUGAGGAGAACAUUCUGCCCCUUGAUGUCUCUGUGAAUAACGUGGUGAGCGUGGAGGUGCGCCAGACCCUGCAAUACAUAAAUCUGUCAUGGGAAACAGCAAAUACCAGUAAUGCUCUUAACAGUGGAAGUUGCAAGAAAAUCAAGCCAUGCAAUCCAAUCAAAAAGGCCAUCAAUGAAUGAUCAAUAUUGAUCCUCAUCCCCCAAGGACCAAUUCUGAUCAACAGUAAAGGAAUUAUGGAACUA
Molecule: long non-coding RNA, 338 nt
Organism: Hyla sarda
Lineage: Eukaryota; Metazoa; Chordata; Amphibia; Anura; Hylidae
Exons: 2
Source: RefSeq, a predicted model, not a curated record